RNAcentral lists this ribosomal RNA (305 nucleotides) under uncultured bacterium. RNAcentral's name for it is "partial 16S ribosomal RNA". It matches the Rfam family "Bacterial small subunit ribosomal RNA", at positions 508 to 807 of the family's 1533-position model. The record is from RNAcentral.
ACAGCAGCCGCCACGGGAAUACGUAGGUGGCAAGCGUUGUCCGGAAUUAUUGGGCGUAAAGGGCUCGCAGGCGGUUUCUUAAGUCUGAUGUGAAAGCCCCCGGCUCAACCGGGGAGGGUCAUUGGAAACUGGGAAACUUGAGUGCAGAAGAGGAGAGUGGAAUUCCACGUGUAGCGGUGAAAUGCGUAGAGAUGUGGAGGAACACCAGUGGCGAAGGCGACUCUCUGGUCUGUAACUGACGCUGAGGAGCGAAAGCGUGGGGAGCGAACAGGAUUAGAUACCCCCGUAGUCCCUGUCUCUUAUAC